Molecule: long non-coding RNA, 313 nt
Organism: Panicum hallii
Lineage: Eukaryota; Viridiplantae; Streptophyta; Magnoliopsida; Poales; Poaceae
Exons: 3
Source: RefSeq, a predicted model, not a curated record
CCGAGCGUAGGUAUGGCGGUUGCCAUACCUUGCCACGUAAGGUCCUCCGCCACUGCUUCAAAAGCCGGUAUGGGAAUGUUGUUGGAGGGAUCAUUUGCCUGUGGAUCGUUGCCAUCGCCAUAUACUUGUGUGGCAUGGGCUCCAUGACUAGCAACUCGAGGAUGACUUAUGCGUUCUCAAGAGAUGGGGCAAUGCCGUUCUCGUCCCUCUGGCGCAAAGUUAACAAGCUCGAAGUGCCGAUAAACGCUGUCUGGCUCUCAGCUUUCAUUUCCCUUUGCAUGGCAUUGCCGUAUCUGGGCAGCCUCGUCACGUU